GAUGAACGCUGGCGGCGUGCCUAACACAUGCAAGUCGAACGCUCGCAAGAGAGUGGCGCACGGGUGAGUAACACGUAGCUAAUCCGCCCUCAAGACAAGGAUAACUGUAGGAAACUACUGCUAAUACUUGAUAAGCUUACGGACUGUAGAGGUCUAUAAGAAAGAUUUAUCGCUUGAGGAUGAGGCUGCGCGCCAUCAGCUAGUUGGUGAGGUAAUGGCUCACCAAGGCGACGACGGCUAGGGGACCUGAGAGGGUGA
This 258-nucleotide ribosomal RNA is filed under the name uncultured bacterium. RNAcentral describes it as "partial 16S ribosomal RNA". It matches the Rfam family "Bacterial small subunit ribosomal RNA", at positions 28 to 303 of the family's 1533-position model. The record is from RNAcentral.